RNAcentral lists this ribosomal RNA (902 nucleotides) under Lophodermium medium. RNAcentral describes it as "mitochondrial SSU rRNA". It matches the Rfam family "Bacterial small subunit ribosomal RNA", at positions 1 to 1171 of the family's 1533-position model. The record is from RNAcentral. Lineage: Eukaryota; Fungi; Ascomycota; Leotiomycetes; Rhytismatales; Rhytismataceae.
UUGGGAGAACGUAUAGUCCUCUUAUGAGGCUAGUUUUGUUUUUUUUAAUUUUACAUCAUCUAUUACUUUUAGAGGAAGUAAGGAUUAAGUAUGUAAAAGAAAAACAAAAUACCAACUACGUUGGAUAAAGUUCUAGAUAGAAUACUUAUUAUGACUAUUUUCUAUCUACUUGUCUUGACCAAAUUACGUGCCAGCAGUCGCGGUAAUACGUAGAAGACGAGUGUUGUCCAUCUUUAAUAGGUUUAAAGGGUACCUAGACGGCAUUGAUUAGCCCAAAAUAGGGUUCUAUUUUAUUGCUAGAGUUUUAUACGAGAAGGGGAGUAUUUAUAGAGUAGAGAUAAAAUUCUUUGAUACCGUAAGGACUGGUAACGGCGAAAGCAGCCUUUUAUGUAAAAACUGACGUUGAGGGACGGAGGCUAGGAUAGCGAACAGGAUUAGAUACCCUAGUAGUCCUUGCAGAGAAUGAUGAAUGCCAUAGAUUAGAUAAAAAUUAUAUUUUUGGUUUAUAAAUGAAAGUGUAAGCAUUCCACCUUAAGAGUACUGUGGCAACGCUGGAACUAAAAUCAUUAGACCGUUUCUGAGAACAGUAGUGAAGUAUGUUGUUUAAUUCGGUAAUCCACGAAAAACCUUACCACAACUUGAAUAGUGUCAUUGACAGGAUAGGUUCUAUAACUUUUUUCCUUACUUUGUUUCUUGUGUUUCUAACGAAGCACAAGAAGCAAAAUAAGUAUAGGUAUUAAGGGUAUAAGUACCUCAUUCUAGGUGAUGUUACAAGUGUUGCACGGUUGUCUUCAGCUAAUGUCGUGAGAUUUAGGUUAGUUCCUUUAAAUUAGCGAAAACCCCGGCUUUAUUUUUUAAUUUUUAUCAUAAAGCAGUUCAUCGGUAUAUUGAAUACAUGAUAA